GAUCAAAGAAGUUUUUUGAUAUGGUGGAGACGGGUUAUGAAGAGCCAAAUGAAGGCGAGGUACUCUCAGCUGGUGGUGAUCACUGAAAAAUAUUUUCAUGA
This is a non-coding RNA of Cucurbita pepo subsp. pepo (vegetable marrow), 101 nucleotides long. Lineage: Eukaryota; Viridiplantae; Streptophyta; Magnoliopsida; Cucurbitales; Cucurbitaceae. The record is from RefSeq and is a predicted model, not a curated record.